RNAcentral lists this transfer RNA (73 nucleotides) under Bos taurus (domestic cattle). It matches the Rfam family "tRNA". From Rfam's summary of the family: Transfer RNA (tRNA) molecules are approximately 80 nucleotides in length. Their secondary structure includes four short double-helical elements and three loops (D, anti-codon, and T loops). Further hydrogen bonds mediate the characteristic L-shaped molecular structure. tRNAs have two regions of fundamental functional importance: the anti-codon, which is responsible for specific mRNA codon recognition, and the 3' end, to which the tRNAs corresponding amino acid is attached (by aminoacyl-tRNA synthetases). tRNAs cope with the degeneracy of the genetic code in two manners: having more than one tRNA (with a specific anti-codon) for a particular amino acid; and 'wobble' base-pairing, i.e. permitting non-standard base-pairing at the 3rd anti-codon position. The record is from Rfam by way of RNAcentral. RNAcentral also lists the same sequence under 4 other names. Lineage: Eukaryota; Metazoa; Chordata; Mammalia; Artiodactyla; Bovidae.
UCCCUGGUAGUCCAGUGGCUAAGACUCUACACUUCCAAUUCAGGGGGCCUGGGUUCGAUUCCUCAUCAGGGAA